ACUGAAUAGAUACCCUGGUAGUCCCAGCUGUAAACGAUGCAGACUCGGUGAUGAAACUGGCUUUAUGCCAGUUCAGUGCCGCAGGGAAGCCGUUAAGUUUGCCGCCUGGGGGAGUACGGUCGCAAGACUGAAAACUUAAAGGAAUUGGCGGGGAGCACCACAAGGGUGGAAGCCUGCGGUUCAAUUGGUAGUCAACGCCGGAAACUACUUACCGGGGGUCGGACAGCAGAGUGAAGGUCAAGCUGAAGAACUUUACCUACGACAAGCUGAGAGGAGGUGCAUGGCCGUCGCCAGCUCGUGCCGUGAGGUGUCCUGUUAAGUCA
Molecule: ribosomal RNA, 323 nt
Filed under: uncultured bacterium
Lineage: Bacteria
Description: bacterial SSU rRNA
Rfam family: Archaeal small subunit ribosomal RNA
Source: RNAcentral